Molecule: ribosomal RNA, 280 nt
Filed under: uncultured bacterium
Lineage: Bacteria
Description: partial 16S ribosomal RNA
Rfam family: Bacterial small subunit ribosomal RNA
Source: RNAcentral
UUUUUCCUACGGGAGGCAGCAGUGGGGGAUAUUGCACAAUGGGGGGAACCCUGAUGCAGCGACGCCGCGUGGGUGAAGGAGUAUUUCGGUAUGUAAAGCCCUAUCGGCAGGGAAGAAGCAAGACGGUACCUGACUAAGAAGCCCCGGCUAACUACGUGCCAGCAGCCGCGGUAAUACGUAGGGGGCAAGCGUUAUCCGGAUUUACUGGGUGUAAAGGGAGCGUAGACGGCGAUGCAAGUCUGAAGUGAAAGGCGGGGGCCCAACCCCCGGACUGCUUUGG